CCUACGGGAGGCAGCAGUAAGGAAUAUCGGUCAAUGGGGGGCAACCCUGAACCAGCCAUGCCGCGUGCAGGACGACUGCCCUAUGGGUUGUAAACUGCCUUUGUUAGGGAAUAAACCCCACUACGUGUAGUGGGCUGAAUGUACCUAAAGAAUAAGGAUCGGCUAACUCCGUGCCAGCGGCCGCGGUAAUACGGAGGAUCCGAGCGUUAUCCGGAUUUAUUGGGUUUAAAGGGUGCGUAGGCGGCACUUUAAGUCAGGGGUGAAAGACGGCAGCUCAACUGUCGCAGUGCCCUUGAUACUGAAGUGCUUGAAUGCGGUUGAAGACGGCGGAAUGAGACAAGUAGCGGUGAAAUGCAUAGAUAUGUCUCAGAACACCGAUUGCGAAGGCAGCUGUCUAAGCCGUUAUUGACGCUGAUGCACGAAAGCGUGGGGAUCGAACAGGAUUAGAUACCCUGGUAGUCCACGCCCUAAACGAUGAUGACUCGAUGUUUGCGAUAUACCGUAAGCGUCCAAGCGAAAGCGUUAAGUCAUCCACCUGGGGAGUACGCCCGCAAGGGUGAAACUCAAAGGAAUUGACGG
RNAcentral lists this ribosomal RNA (579 nucleotides) under uncultured Flavobacteriaceae bacterium. RNAcentral describes it as "bacterial SSU rRNA". It matches the Rfam family "Bacterial small subunit ribosomal RNA", at positions 338 to 916 of the family's 1533-position model. The record is from RNAcentral. Lineage: Bacteria; Pseudomonadati; Bacteroidota; Flavobacteriia; Flavobacteriales; Flavobacteriaceae.